This 497-nucleotide ribosomal RNA is filed under the name uncultured bacterium. Its description in RNAcentral is "partial 16S ribosomal RNA". It matches the Rfam family "Bacterial small subunit ribosomal RNA", at positions 28 to 507 of the family's 1533-position model. The record is from RNAcentral.
GAUGAACGCUGGCGGCGUGCCUAAUACAUGCAAGUCGAGCGAACGGACGAGAAGCUUGCUUCUCUGGUGUUAGCGGCGGACGGGUGAGUAACACGUGGAUAACCUACCUAUAAGACUGGGAUAACUUCGGGAAACCGGAGCUAAUACCGGAUAAUAUUUUGAACCGCAUGGUUCAAAAGUGAAAGACGGUCUUGCUGUCACUUAUAGAUGGAUCCGCGCUGCAUUAGCUAGUUGGUAAGGUAACGGCUUACCAAGGCAACGAUGCAUAGCCGACCUGAGAGGGUGAUCGGCCACACUGGAACUGAGACACGGUCCAGACUCCUACGGGAGGCAGCAGUAGGGAACCUUCCGCAAUGGGCGAAAGCCUGACGGAGCAACGCCGCGUGAGUGAUGAAGGUCUUCGGAUCGUAAAACUCUGUUAUUAGGGAAGAACAUAUGUGUAAGUAACUGUGCACAUCUUGACGGUACCUAAUCAGAAAGCCACGGCUAACUACGUG